CCGCGAACAUCAGUAGCUAGUUAGCUACAUGCCUUUCUUUAGAGAAGGUUCAAUCUCUGACUUCUCUAGCUACUUGGCUAGACUUGAUCGCAUUGUUUGUAAUAACAUUAUUUAGCGGCAAUUAGUUAUUUAAGACAACGUUAUCCUAUUCAUUUUGACCCAUUAUCUGGCAGUUUGAAUAAAACUAGCAAAUUAUCUCUGGUGACAGUCAGCUAGCUAGCUAAGCUAAAGUUAGCUAAAGUUAGCUAGCAACCGCGGUAGGAAAGGCAAGAAGGCACGAUCCGAAAUGGUCUGUUCGUGUUCGCAUGGGUCACCCGGACCAGAGCGGCUUGAUGAUCUGCGUCGCUUGUGUCAUUGAGAUGAUGGAAAGCAACAACGUUGUCGUAUGAUUUCUAACUAUUGAACAUGUUUUAUUGACCACAUAUUGGUAUUUCUGCUACAACAGCUAACAUGACAUGAGCUGCCAUCAACCCUUAUAUGCAUUUGGCUACCCCUGUGGUUCCAUCAUUUGUUUUACUCUGUGAGUGUCCAGGGUAUCUUGAAAGUCGCAAAUAAAAUGUAUUAUUAUUAUAAUGACAUCUCUUGCCCUUCAAUAGUCUGUGAGAAAGUCUGUGGCGCUGUCAGGGAUCAGUAGGGUCCUGAAGAGCUGUCCUGGGGCUCUGAAGGAGCUGCUACUACAGGACCACAGGGUCUGUCUGCAUUUCACAGCGUUUUUACUGGGGAUGCUUCACACAGUAGAGGACCCAGCCACUCUGGAGCAGGCCAUACAGGGUAAGAGGAAAGCUUAAAUGGCCUGAUUAUACACACGGCAGCUUGAGAAUGCUCACUCUUUACUGACUAAAUCAUAGUAUCUUUGUACUAUUGUCUCAACUUUUACCUCAUGUCACUACUUUCUAUAGCAUGACCAGGUUCAUUGGCUCUCAUCGUCUGGGUUGAAGAGAGAUAUGGGUUGUUGAGUGCCUCAGCAGAAUUGUUAAUUAGAGUGUUGCUGGUUAUGGAACCCCACAGGACCACUGUGUUGAAGCACUAACAAAAUCACUGUGUGCACUGCGCCAGGGUAAAGUGUGAAAUGCACAAUUUGUUUUCAAAACCGUGUCAAUUGAGCCCCAUGAAUAAUGCUAUGAUAAGUCUCUCUCUCUGUGUCUUGGUUCAGUGCUGGUUCAGCUGCUCUUGGAGUUACAGAGUGAACAGUAUGCGCGCUACAUCCUGGAUGAGAUACACACACACACACACAACUGUGUGACCAGUCCAGUGUGAGGGGUUUCCUGCCCACCUUCACCUUCUUGGGGAAGCUGGUAGAUGCUGUUCCUUCCCUGCACAGAGCCUGGCCUCCAGCCAUGUGUGUUUAUGUGUCUAUCUCAUUUCCUCUCCCCCCACCUCCCUUUUUUCAUUCUCUUCCUCUCUCCCCUCCUCGCUCCCCCUCUCUCUCGCUCCUGUGCCCCUGAUUGGAGCGGUUGUGCUCCACGCUGCUCUACCCAGACGAGGGUCUGAAGGCCUCAGUCAGGGAGCUGCCCAAUCCCUCCCCCCCAGAGACAGGGUGUGGUGUGUGUGCUGCUGAUGCAGACCCUGGCCCACGCUUGCUCCUCUCAGCUCACCAUCAACUGCCUGGGCUUCCUGAAGCAGCUGCUGAAGCUGGGUCAGCUGGUGUCUCUGCUGAUGAACAGCCCCUGUGAGCAGAUCCGGUCUGAUCUGGAUCAGAGCCUGGACCAGGACCAAGAGGCCCAGUCCAGCACACAGCUCUCCCUGGAGCGCUGCCCACUGCCACUCAUACUCAAAAAGUCUGAAGGAGGCCCUGAGGCUGACUAACGUGGAGGUGCAGAGACAGGGCCUGCUGCUGCUCACAGAGAUACUGGAGAGGCAGCCUGCGGGGGUGCGUCUGUUCCCCAGCGCUCCAGGGUUUGUGGCCGUGGCAGAGGUGGUGCUCUCAGGAGUCUGCUCCCCUUGUCUGCCACCGCCCUCCUCAGGGUGAAGCACCAGUCCAGCCCAGUACAGUACAAAGACCUGGAGAAGCUGGUGGAAGACAUUAUUGCUCGGUGCACUGAGCUGCCCUUACCUGCCUCCUCACGGUGCUGAGUGAGUCAGUCUCUGUCCACCUUUGUGUGUCAGCAAGGGGACAACUCCACUUCAUUUCAGGAAUCACCAUUGGAAAGGUUUCUUGUCUGUGUCCCUGUUACUCUCUCUUCCAGGUGAGCCUCAGAGGAGCUGAGCCCAGCAGCCAGGCCUCGAGAGAGGGAGGGUUUCUACUCCAGGCCCUGGUCUGUUUCCAUGCCGCCUGCAGGUUAGUGGAGCAGUGUUCGUCUGAGCCUGGCCUGAUCUGAGCCUGGCCUGAUCUGAGCCUGGCCUGAUCUGAGCCUGGCCUGAUCUGAGCCUGGCCUGAUCUGAGCCUGGCCUGAUCUGAGCCUGGCCUGAAGGAGAAUGGGUUCACAGCUCCAUCCAAGCAGGUUCAGGGUCAGGACCCGCUCGAGUCCCUGUGUCUGCUACACUGCUGUGACACUGUUUGCAUCCCCACCGUCACAGUGAGCCCUGCCCCGUGUGUGUGUGUGUAGAGGCAUUGUGAGCUCACCCCCAGCGCCCAGGUGCUCCAGCACUUCUUCUCCAUCCUGUCGUACCAGUUCUCCCUUCUACCCUCCCCCAUGCCCCUCUUCGCUGCCAAACUGGGGGAGGCAUGUUGUCCGGGGCAUCCUCUGGUUUCUUCAGGCUGGCUCUGGAGCACAAAGCUGUCCUCUGUGCAGGAAACAGAAACCCAGCUCUGAACGCAGUCUGCUGUGGUUUUCUGCAGAGGCUCAGUGUGUCUCUUCUGUCCCAACCAGACCCUGCAGCCAGCAUCCUCCCACGAGACUGUGAGGAGAUAGAGGCUGUGUUGAGGUCCAGCCUGCCCUCUCUGUGUUGUCGUGUGUGUGAGUGGCCCUCUCUGCUGUGAGUCCCCAGGGCCUCAAUGUGACCCUGCUGGCCCCAGGGCCACUCAGUACUGUCUGCUCACAUUGCUGCACCUGGCCCUGCAGCAUGGAGACAGGAGUAGGGAGACUCUGCCCUGCCUCCCUGUGUGCUCAGGUCUGCCCUCUACCUGCUGUCUGUCACACAGGACAAGAGCCCUGACCUGGACUGGCCUCCUCUAAACUGCAUCAGCAAGGCCCUGUCCUCCAGCCCCAGUUUCGCCUCCCUCUACAUCCACCACCCUCCACUCCUACACUUCCUCUUCUGCUACCCAGAGCUGGCCG
This is a non-coding RNA of Salmo salar (Atlantic salmon), 3218 nucleotides long. Lineage: Eukaryota; Metazoa; Chordata; Actinopteri; Salmoniformes; Salmonidae. The record is from RefSeq and is a predicted model, not a curated record.